GACGAACGCUGGCGGCGUGCCUAACACAUGCAAGUCGAACGGGGAUUUGCGGAAACGCAAGUUUAAGUAAAUCCUAGUGGCGGACGGGUGAGUAACGCGUGAGCAACCUACCAAGGAGAGGGGGAUAACACAGAGAAAUCUGUGCUAAUACCGCAUAAGGUCACGAUUCCGCAUGGGGUUGUGAUAAAAGGGCUCAGCCCGCUUCUUGAUGGGCUCGCGUCUGAUUAGCUAGUUGGUAGGGUAAAGGCCUACCAAGGCGAUGAUCAGUAGCCGGACUGAGAGGUUGUACGGCCACAUUGGGACUGAGACACGGCCCAGACUCCUACGGGAGGCAGCAGUGGGGAAUAUUGCGCAAUGGGGGGAACCCUGACGCAGCGACGCCGCGUGAAGGAAGAAGGUCUUCGGAUUGUAAACUUUUGUCUUUGGUGACGAUAAUGACGGUAGCCAGAGAGGAAGCCACGGCUAACUACGUGCC
This 475-nucleotide ribosomal RNA is filed under the name uncultured bacterium. RNAcentral's name for it is "bacterial SSU rRNA". It matches the Rfam family "Bacterial small subunit ribosomal RNA", at positions 28 to 509 of the family's 1533-position model. The record is from RNAcentral.